RNAcentral lists this ribosomal RNA (446 nucleotides) under uncultured bacterium. RNAcentral's name for it is "partial 16S ribosomal RNA". It matches the Rfam family "Bacterial small subunit ribosomal RNA", at positions 338 to 795 of the family's 1533-position model. The record is from RNAcentral.
CCUACGGGGGGCAGCAGUGAGGAAUAUUGGUCAAUGGGGGGAACCCUGACCGAGCAACGCCGCGUGAACGAAGAAGUUAUUCGUAAUGUAAAGUUCUUUUAACAGGGAAGAAAGAGAAAUUUGACGGUACCUGAAGAAUAAGCUCCGGCUAACUACGUGCCAGCAGCCGCGGUAAUACGUAGGGAGCGAGCGUUAUCCGGAAUUAUUGGGCGAAAAGGGUGUGUAGAUGGCAUAGUAAGUCUUUUGUAAAAAUGCUGGGCUCAACCCAGUAGGGCAAAAGAUACUGCAAAGCUAGAGUAUGACAGAGGCAAGUGGAACUACAUGUGUAGCGGUAAAAUGCGUAAAUAUAUGUAAGAACACCAGUGGCGAAGGCGGCUUGCUGGGUCGAUACUGACAUUGAGGCACGAAAGCGUGGGGAGCAAACAGGAUUAGAUACCCGGGUAGUC